GAAGAAGAAGAGUGGGCGGGGCUUCGAUGUAUGCAGCAUUUUUCCAGCUUGUGAGGGGAAAAUGAAAGGAACAUGCAAUCUGUGUUAGUUCUUUAAAAAUAUGAUAAAGUAUACCCAGUAAUCUGGAUGACAAAUCGUUGUGCUCGUCUGGGAUGCUUAUCUACUUUGUUUGAAGGAAACGGACAGUUGUUUCUUUAGCCAGUUGUUUUAUUGACCGGGAUAAUCUCCUCGUCCAUGGGAAAAGAUUUCUCUCUGAUGAGUCGUGACGCCGAAUAGUCUUCACUGGAUCCCGUAUCUGCUGAACUGUUAGCUGCUUGAACUUGUCGCCCUGUACAGUUGUCUGUCGUUUGAGGCCACUGGACUACAUACAGCCUCUCAGGAAUGUGGAUCCAUCACUCUCGCAUUCACCUGCAAUUCCCACUAAGAGGGCACCCAGCAACACAGGCGGAAAUGAGAAAGACUAUAGCCCUAAUGAGAGUGCUCCAAAACCCCUUGCAAAAAAGGCCAAGAAAAACAUUCAGACAAGCAACAGGCAUUCAGCUCUGUCAUGGAAAACAGAUAAUGACACUGACAUGGUUCCACAGACUCUGAGAUUCCUACCUGCACGGGAACCUGGACCACAGCUGCGUCCUGCUGAUGAACACACUCCUAAGAGUCUCUUCAAAAUGUUCAAAAUGCAAGGAAUAAUGCCACCGCUGGUCGUCGGAACUGCAUGCUUUGCAAAGUACAGCUUGGUAAAAGGCAAGACACACCUUGGAAAUGCCAGGCAUGUGACAUUUUCUUGUGUCUUCAGUUGAAAAGGAACUGUUUUCAAAAAUGGCACACAGAUGUGUGACUGUUCAGAUUCUCUGUUCACCACCUCUCACUGACCAUUGGGCUGCAAAGAUUAUCUAUAUGUGAUCAAGCAGGUUAUGUAUAGGGUGUAAAAGUGGGCUUUUUUUAUAAACCUUACCUUUAUUUGCCUGUAUACACAAAAUGUGCCUUUGACCCUAGUUUAUAUGUGGAUUAUAUUGUUAACUUUAUUUUAAAUAAAAAAGAAAAAAAAACAAUGAUAUGUCUUGUCUUUGCAUUUUCUUAGUUGACUCAGUCACAUUCCUGACUGAAUGGCUCAUUAUGCGGCUCAUUAGGGGCAGGGUCUUAAUCUCCCCAGGUGUAAAUCACUUCAUUAUUCAUGAAGAGUCACACCUCUUCGCAUAUGGCCUACCUAAACAAAAAGUGUCUUAGAAAUUUAAAAUCAAUACAAUGUUUUAUGUGUCAGAGUAGGGAGGAUCAUUUCCACAUCAUUUUGAAGCAAAAACUCUACACUAAAAU
This is a long non-coding RNA of Megalobrama amblycephala (Wuchang bream), 1311 nucleotides long. RefSeq lists it as uncharacterized. The transcript is spliced from 3 exons. The record is from RefSeq and is a predicted model, not a curated record. Lineage: Eukaryota; Metazoa; Chordata; Actinopteri; Cypriniformes; Xenocyprididae.